GCUACAUGGUGGCAGCUAUCCGCGUGAAGAUGAAGGUUGCAAGCGUGUAUCGGAAUGACUGUGCUGAAGUGGUGGUUAGACGGGUUGGUAAGUCUGUCGUGAAGUCCCCGGGCUCAAACUGGGAAUGGCGAUGGGUACUGGCGGGCUAGAGUGGGUCAGAGGAUGGUGGAAUUCACGGUGUAGCGGUGAAAUGCGUAGAGAGCGGGAGGAACAUCAGUGGCGAAGGCGGCCAUCUGGGACAACACUGACGCUGAAGCACGAAAGCGUGGGGAGCAAACAGGAUUAGAUACCCGAGUAGUC
RNAcentral lists this ribosomal RNA (300 nucleotides) under uncultured Methanopyrus sp. RNAcentral's name for it is "partial 16S ribosomal RNA". It matches the Rfam family "Bacterial small subunit ribosomal RNA", at positions 496 to 795 of the family's 1533-position model. Lineage: Archaea; Methanobacteriati; Methanobacteriota; Methanopyri; Methanopyrales; Methanopyraceae. The record is from RNAcentral.